CACACUCACUACAUUUACCCAAAUUAUUUCACUUCCUUCUUUCUUCUACAAAACAGUAUGAAGAAAAGAACAAGAGUGAUGAGAAGGAGGAAUUAGCAGUGUUUGUUUUGAGGGGAAUGUUGUUUGGCUCGAGGCCACCAACUUGAUCCAGUAUAUUACUCACAGAUCAACAAUUGUUCGAUUUGAUUAUGGAUCAUGUGUUUGUGUCGUCGGACCAGGCUUCAUUCCCCUCAAAUCUUGCUUCCUCCUUACGAGCAUGCAAAGUCAGAUGCAGGAUUUAAACUUUUUUUGUCGAACUAACCACAUAUUAUUAAGCACAAAACAAAUACGAAGGUCCCAAGUUACAUCAACAGAAAUCUAAAAGAGACCAAACAAAAAAAAGAGCUUCCUCUACUAACUGCUAAGCUAUUUCCUACUCCUCAGCUAUACAAUUACUCUCUGCAAUAUUUCUAUAUCUGUACUUCGUGUGCGAAAAUAAUGGAUUCCAUUGACCCUGUCAAAUGUAUGAUCCAUCCAUAAUGCGGAACAAGAAGAAGUAACAAUCUCUUCCAAACCUCUGAUUCAGUCUUUAUGUUAAUGUUAUGGAUUUGGUCAUGACAAAAGCAGAUUGGUGAAAUCAUUGAGGAUUUUACUCCUACUACGAAUUUUUCCUAUACCAGGGGGUUAAGAGUAAGAGUUUCAUCAUUUACCAUGCUUAAAUUUGUAUUACAGUAUAUCUUUACUCAUACUCUUAAAUAGUAUGAUGCUGCUUUUUA
Lycium ferocissimum is the source of this 755-nucleotide long non-coding RNA. RefSeq lists it as uncharacterized. The record is from RefSeq and is a predicted model, not a curated record. The transcript has 2 exons. NCBI's taxonomy places the organism in Eukaryota, Viridiplantae, Streptophyta, Magnoliopsida, Solanales, Solanaceae.